GCCUGGGUGGCUCAGUCGGUUGAGCGUCCGACUUCGGUUCAGGUCAUGAUCUCGCGGUUCGUGGGUUCGAGCCCCGCGUCGGGCU
RNAcentral lists this transfer RNA (85 nucleotides) under Felis catus (domestic cat). It matches the Rfam family "tRNA". From Rfam's summary of the family: Transfer RNA (tRNA) molecules are approximately 80 nucleotides in length. Lineage: Eukaryota; Metazoa; Chordata; Mammalia; Carnivora; Felidae. The record is from Rfam by way of RNAcentral.